Long non-coding RNA from Crotalus tigris (Tiger rattlesnake), 463 nucleotides. RefSeq lists it as uncharacterized. Lineage: Eukaryota; Metazoa; Chordata; Lepidosauria; Squamata; Viperidae. The transcript has 3 exons. The record is from RefSeq and is a predicted model, not a curated record.
CCCGGUGUUUUAAGACGUGCAGCAAAACGAGCUUUCUGGCCUCGUGCCCGCUUCCUGCUAGCUAGUCGGUGAGGGCCAAAGUAAGAAGAGAGAGGUAAAGAAGAGGCGGGAACGAACAUAACCUCGACAGAAUUGUGUGAAAGGAAUUCAGAGAUGCGCUGUCUCUUCUCAUCCUUCGUGGCUCCAUCAGGGCUCGUUUAGGAGGGGAGAAUUGGCGAUAUCAUCCUCCUUACAUCAGUUAUGUAUACAAAGAAUUGGAGGGAACAAUUUUGGCCAAUGAAUUGUUCAGAGGAAUAAUCUAAAUCAAAACACCCCCUGCUAGAUGGCUAUUCCACCUCUGCUUCAAGACAUUCUUAAUAACAGGCUUUGAAAUGAAGCUCAUUAAUUAGGGAGCUACAAGGAGGUGUCCCCAAACCCCGGUCCAUGGGCCAGUACUGGGCCAUGCAUGCCAGCAACCGGUCUG